This 253-nucleotide ribosomal RNA is filed under the name uncultured bacterium. RNAcentral describes it as "partial 16S ribosomal RNA". It matches the Rfam family "Bacterial small subunit ribosomal RNA", at positions 524 to 776 of the family's 1533-position model. The record is from RNAcentral.
UACGGGGGGGGCAAGCGUUGUUCGGAAUUACUGGGCGUAAAGGGCUCGUAGGUGGCCAACUAAGUCAUACGUGAAAUCCCUCGGCUUAACCGGGGAACUGCGUCUGAUACUGGAUGGCUUGAGGUUGGGAGAGGGAUGCGGAAUUCCAGGUGUAGCGGUGAAAUGCGUAGAUAUCUGGAGGAACACCGGUGGCGAAGGCGGCAUCCUGGACCGACACUGACGCUGAGGAGCGAAAGCCAGGGGAGCAAACGGG